This 228-nucleotide ribosomal RNA is filed under the name uncultured bacterium. RNAcentral's name for it is "partial 16S ribosomal RNA". It matches the Rfam family "Bacterial small subunit ribosomal RNA", at positions 568 to 795 of the family's 1533-position model. The record is from RNAcentral.
UGCGCAGGCGGGCUUGUAAGUCAGUGGUGAAAUACUGCCGCUUAACGGUAGAACUGCCAUUGAUACUGCAAGUCUUGAAUAUGGUUGAGGUCGGCGGAAUGUGUCGUGUAGCGGUGAAAUGCAUAGAUAUGACACAGAACGCCAAUUGCGAAGGCAGCUUACUAAGCCAUUAUUGACGCUGAGGCACGAAAGCGUGGGGAGCGAACAGGAUUAGAUACCCUGGUAGUC